This is a small nucleolar RNA of Papaver somniferum (opium poppy), 80 nucleotides long. The record is from RefSeq and is a predicted model, not a curated record. NCBI's taxonomy places the organism in Eukaryota, Viridiplantae, Streptophyta, Magnoliopsida, Ranunculales, Papaveraceae.
GAGCAGAUGAUGAAACAAAUAUUUUAAGACUGAUUAGUAUGAAGUUAUUAAAUAUUCGAGCUUUUUAAAACUGAUGCUCA